RNAcentral lists this ribosomal RNA (870 nucleotides) under uncultured marine group I thaumarchaeote. RNAcentral describes it as "SSU rRNA". It matches the Rfam family "Archaeal small subunit ribosomal RNA", at positions 27 to 904 of the family's 1478-position model. The record is from RNAcentral. Lineage: Archaea; Thermoproteati; Nitrososphaerota.
CUGCUAUCGGAUUGAUACUAAGCCAUGCGAGUCUUUGUAGUAAUACAAGGCAGACGGCUCAGUAACACGUAGUCAACCUACCCUAUGGACAAGAAUAAUCUCGGGAAACUGGGCAUAAUUCUUGAUAGAUCAUAAUGCCUGGAAUGGUUUAUGGUUAAAAUGAUUCGUCGCCAUAGGAUGGGACUGCGGCCUAUCAGCUUGUUGGUGAGGUAAUGGCCCACCAAGGCGAUUACAGGUACGGGCUCUGAGAGGAGAAGCCCGGAGAUGGGUACUGAGACACGGACCCAGGCCCUAUGGGGCGCAGCAGGCGAGAAAACUUUGCAAUGUGCGAAAGCACGACAAGGUUAAUCCGAGUGAUUUCUGCUAAAGAAAUCUUUUGCCAGUCAUAAAACCACUGGUGAAUAAGGGGUGGGCAAGUUCUGGUGUCAGCCGCCGCGGUAAAACCAGCACCUCAAGUGGUCAGGAUGAUUAUUGGGCCUAAAGCAUCCGUAGCCGGCUUUGUAAGUUUUCGGUUAAAUCCAUGUGCUCAACGCAUGGGCUGCCGAAAAUACUGCAUGGCUAGGGAGUGGGAGAGGUAGACGGUACUCAGUAGGAAGGGGUAAAAUCCUUUGAUCUAUUGAUGACCACCUGUGGCGAAGGCGGUCUACCAGAACACGUUCGACGGUGAGGGAUGAAAGCUGGGGGAGCAAACCGGAUUAGAUACCCGGGUAGUCCCAGCUGUAAACGAUGCAGACUCGAUGAUGCAUUGGCAUAAUAGCCAGUGCAGUGUCGCAGGGAAGCCGUUAAGUCUGCCGCCUGGGAAGUACGUACGCAAGUAUGAAACUUAAAGGAAUUGGCGGGGAGCACCACAAGGGUGAAGCCUGCGGUUCA